AAAUUGAACUCGCUGUGAAGAUGCAGUGUACCCGCGGCAAGACGGAAAGACCCCGUGAACCUUUACUAUAGCUUGACACUGAACAUUGAGCCUUGAUGUGUAGGAUAGGGGGGAGGCUUUGAAGCGUGGACGCCAGUCUGCGUGGAGCCAACCUUGAAAUACCACCCUUUAAUGUUUGAUGUUCUAACGUUGGCCCCUGACCGGGGUUGCGGACAGUGUCUGGUGGGUAGUUUGACUGGGGCGGUCUCCUCCCAAAGCGUAACGGAGGAGCACGAAGGUUAGCUAAUCCUGGUCGGACAUCAGGAGGUUAGUGCAAUGGCAUAAGCUAGCUUGACUGCGAGCGUGACGGCGCGAGCAGGUGCGAAAGCAGGUCAUAGUGAUCCGGUGGUUCUGAAUGGAAGGGCCAUCGCUCAACGGAUAAAAGGUACUCCGGGGAUAACAGGCUGAUACCGCCCAAGAGUUCAUAUCGACGGCGGUGUUUGGCACCUCGAUGUCGGCUCAUCACAUCCUGGGGCUGAAGUAGGUCC
Molecule: ribosomal RNA, 527 nt
Filed under: Klebsiella pneumoniae
Lineage: Bacteria; Pseudomonadati; Pseudomonadota; Gammaproteobacteria; Enterobacterales; Enterobacteriaceae
Description: partial 23S ribosomal RNA
Rfam family: Bacterial large subunit ribosomal RNA
Source: RNAcentral